RNAcentral lists this ribosomal RNA (253 nucleotides) under uncultured bacterium. RNAcentral's name for it is "partial 16S ribosomal RNA". It matches the Rfam family "Bacterial small subunit ribosomal RNA", at positions 524 to 776 of the family's 1533-position model. The record is from RNAcentral.
UACGUAGGGUGCAAGCGUUAAUCGGAAUUACUGGGCGUAAAGCGUGCGCAGGCGGUGAUGUAAGACAGUUGUGAAAUCCCCGGGCUCAACCUGGGAACUGCAUCUGUGACUGCAUCGCUGGAGUACGGUAGAGGGGGAUGGAAUUCCGCGUGUAGCAGUGAAAUGCGUAGAUAUGCGGAGGAACACCGAUGGCGAAGGCAAUCCCCUGGACCUGUACUGACGCUCAUGCACGAAAGCGUGGGUAGCAAACAGG